This is a long non-coding RNA of Micropterus salmoides (largemouth bass), 605 nucleotides long. RefSeq lists it as uncharacterized. The record is from RefSeq and is a predicted model, not a curated record. The transcript is spliced from 6 exons. Lineage: Eukaryota; Metazoa; Chordata; Actinopteri; Centrarchiformes; Centrarchidae.
CACAAACCACAUGAGGGCCCUCGGUGGUUCAGAUUAACAUCUAUGGUUGAUGCAUCGGUUGGUAACUUGUGUGAACUUGACGACAGAGAUAUCCAAGCAUUCAUUUCGGCAUUCGAGGAAGGAGCGGGAAGCAGAGAAAGGCAAGACAAUAAAGUGAGAACCUCCGCCUGCGGGUGUAGCUAGCGAGCCAACCGGCCAGUCACGCUCACAGACCGUUGCAGCAGACGACGGCUGAGUGGCAGACGAAAGCCAGACCCACAGCUGGACAUCUGAGGAAACCAACGGGCGUACGAGGCUCUCUUCACUGGUCGGAGGAAUUCCCCCAAAAAUGGAUGGGAAGUUUGACCCAAACAAGCUGUGAAGAAAUGGAACAACCUACCACCCACACAUCUUUCAGAACUUGGGGAUCCUCCAACAGGGGAAGGGGUGGAGGCGAGAGGGCUGACCGCUGCUACCUGGCAGUGGUACAGUCAGACGGAUGCUGCACUCAGCAGGUCCGCGAGCAGGAGGAGGGAAGAGGAGGCAGCGAGCAGGAGGCAGCGGCGAGGGAGGAGGAGCCAGCGAGCAGGAGGCAGCGGCGAGGGAAGAGGAGCCAGCGAGCAGGA